UAUAAGACUGUUGUAAUUGACAUUGAGAGGAGAGAGAUUAGGAAAGGCAGAGAAGUCAAACCUGUUGAGUGUUCCAUCAAGGCCAGAAUCCACCAAAUUUAUUUCAACAAUGCUGCCAGCUUCAUUGCACUGAAUUCCAGUCCAGUUGCAAGGGCUGCUUCUGCUGCUAGUGAGAGUCCAUGAUGUUAAAGAAGAAGAGCUUAAACUGAUUUUCCAGUUUAGCAGAGCUUCUGCUUCAGUUUGUGCAUGGAUUGCUCAGAAAAAGCCCCAGCGUCAGCACCAAACACCGGCAACUACUCAGAAAAAGCCCCCUGCUUCUCCCAUCCCUGUCGACACCACCUCCGUUUCAAAAAGGCUUCAGAAGGAGUUGAUGUCUCUGAUGUCGUCAGUCCUUCUUCCAGUUGUGAUGACUCUUAUAGCAACACGGCCACAAGAUAGUGAAUUUCUAAAGAUUUUAGGUAAAUUUUGCUAUCCUAGGUGGGCUUUAGAAGCAUUUGUGAUUGCAAAUGCUGAAAGGUAUUGCGCCAAUUUCCCUAUAUCUGAAAAAGUGAUUAGAAUUCUAUUACCUACUGAAAGUGAAAACGUUACCCCUUAAUCUAGCAAUCUGCUGAUGGAGGAGUCUAACUUUGUAAAUCCGAGAACUGAAAUGGAAGU
Molecule: long non-coding RNA, 654 nt
Organism: Prunus dulcis (almond)
Lineage: Eukaryota; Viridiplantae; Streptophyta; Magnoliopsida; Rosales; Rosaceae
Exons: 3
Source: RefSeq, a predicted model, not a curated record